CGAGUUGGGGGCGCGGCGAGGCCCGCCGCGCCCUGCGACGGCCGCUGGCCCUCCUCAGCAGCGGCGAGAUGUUCGAGGUGGAGGCUCGACGGAGUGCCCCGAUGUCUUCGAGAUCAUCUUCAGUCAGCGUGCCCGUUCCGGGGCCGGCGGUGCUUCGCCUGUGGCCAGCGCGGCCACAUCCGAGUGGCCUGCGGACGGGGGAGUCAGCAUCAGCUGCGCCAGCUGUCGGCCGAGGAUCCACAGUCGGCGUCAGUGAUGCAGUGCGGUGAUGAGAGUGCCGAGCUGUCGCGCCGAGAGGUGGCGGCUCCCGCGAGUGAUGAGGCGAUCGAUGAGGCCUACGCGAUGUUUAGUGUGCGGCCCGAGAGUGAGCGACGACCGCCGCUGAUGGUGAGCGUGGUGCUUGAUGGAAAGGCAGUGGACAUGGAGCUGGAUACGGGGGCGGCGGUGUCCGUCUGCUCCGACUCCGUGCUCCGUCAGCUCUGGCCGAGCGGCGGCCCGAGCCUGGAGCCGUGCAACGUCACGCUGAAGACCUACAGCGGCGAACAGCUAUCGGUGUGCGGACAGGUAACGGUGGAUGUCGAGCACGGUGGCCAGGCUGCCGCUUAUCAUCGUGAAGGGAAGUGCCCCGUGUUUGUUUGGCCGAAACUGGCUGAGUCAGAUCCCACUGGAUUGGCCCACAGUGUGUCGUGUAUCGUCCGCGUCUCGUGUGCAGCCGGUACUCGAUGAGUUUCCACAUGUGUUCCGUGAUGAGCUCGGCUGUUUUCGUGGUGGCGAGGUCACCAUUGACGUGGAUCCAGAUGUGCAGCCGCGCUUCUUCAAGCCGAGGGCGGUUCCUCUGGCUUACCGGGAGGCCGUGGACGCGCAGCUGGAGAAGGAGAUACAGCAAGGACUCUGGGAACCCGUCCGCCACACCCCGUGGAGCCCGUGAUGCCACCCGUGCCACGUCCACUCCUGGUUCCCGUGUCGACCGCACCGGUUCCAGGCGUGCCGGCCACCGGAGCCCCGCCGGAUCCCGCACCGGUGUCGGCCGCUGCUCCCGUGCCCAGCUCCGGUCCGUCACACCGGCCGCAGCCCGUCACUGACAGCUGCUCCAAUGGACCCGGGGAGUCGAGACCAGCUCUCCCCGUCGUACCAUCCACUGGCACGCCGGGUGGCUCCACCGGCCACCACGGGUACAAUCUGAGGAAUCGCGCGACCUUGCGAGCUCCGGAUCGAUAUUGAUGGGCACGUCUCUAUGACUCGGUUUUCGCAGAAGUGUUUUCUUCGGUUAUGUUCUUGUUACGGUGAUGGUUUUGUAACCAGGGGGAGGAGUGUUGUGGUGCACAAUGCUGCUGUGCCCGGGCCGCUGCUCUGGUCCCAGUGCACCAUGCCGGCGCAGGCAGCGCCGGCCAGCGGACGCCUGAUUGGUCGCCUCAGGCGCUGUGUCUGUGAGCCCCGUGACCGGCCGCAAAUACACAGUCUGGAACGGA
Molecule: long non-coding RNA, 1469 nt
Organism: Amphibalanus amphitrite
Lineage: Eukaryota; Metazoa; Arthropoda; Thecostraca; Balanomorpha; Balanidae
Exons: 2
Source: RefSeq, a predicted model, not a curated record